GAUCAUGACCUGAGCCGAAGGCAGCCGCUUAACCAACUCUGCCACCCAGGGACAAAAGCUUGGAGAGGUCAAGUGACUGGCCCAAGGUCACCCUACUCACUCCAGGGUCACAGAGCUGCCUCCCAGCCCAACAAGUGAUAUUCAGAAGCUUAUGGAAGACGCGAAGACCCAGACUCACCAGCCUUCUGACUGGAUCCCAAACAUACCUUUGGCUCCAUCGCCUCCAUGCCCAGGAAACAGACCAUCCCCUGCCCUCAAAAGACCUAUUCAUCUUGUAAUCCUAAAAACAAAAGUUAAUUAAGACCAAAUCUCUUCUUAGCAUUUCGCAAUGCCUUCUGGGAUAAUUAAUAUAACUGGUAUGAACUGCUCCAUAAACUCAGAGCACAAAUAUGGUCACAUUCCACUUAUUUUUCCAAUUAAUCUCCCAAGCACACAUCUACAUGAAAAGUCCAGCAUCUCCCUCUGGAGGCUUCCUCCCUUCCCAAGAAAUUGUCCCAUAGCCCUGGGGACAGGCCAAGUAAAAACAAAAAUGAGCUUCGCACAUACCAGGCAUAGAGGAACUGGAGUCUGUUCAGUUCAGAACGGGCGGGGAUUCUCUCGGCCACGGAUUCCUGCUACCACACAGUGUCACUGUUGAAACUCACGCCUACACAAUUUCUUGGAUACACGCAAAGGCGGAAACCAAGCCCCUGACCAGCAGCCAGAGGCCCCAUGUAGGGCUCUUCAAGUAUGAUUCUUAUUCAUUUUCUCAUACUUCGUUAUUUCCCAGGGCACAAGAACACAGCAGGAACCCCCAAGCAGGACUGAUUCUACUCUCCACCCCAAACAAAUCCCUUUCCCCUGGCCCAUGAGCACCGCGGGGAACUCUUUUAAAUAUCC
Molecule: long non-coding RNA, 879 nt
Organism: Neomonachus schauinslandi (Hawaiian monk seal)
Lineage: Eukaryota; Metazoa; Chordata; Mammalia; Carnivora; Phocidae
Exons: 3
Source: RefSeq, a predicted model, not a curated record